This 433-nucleotide ribosomal RNA is filed under the name uncultured bacterium. Its description in RNAcentral is "partial 16S ribosomal RNA". It matches the Rfam family "Bacterial small subunit ribosomal RNA", at positions 29 to 507 of the family's 1533-position model. The record is from RNAcentral.
AGCGAACGCUGGCGGCAGGCCUAACACAUGCAAGUCGAACGAACUCUUCGGAGUUAGUGGCGGACGGGUGAGUAACACGUGGGAACGUGCCUUUUGGCUCGGAAUAACUCAGGGAAACUUGUGCUAAUACCGAAUGUGUCCCUCGGGGGAAAGAUUUAUCGCCAUUAGAGCGGCCCGCGUCUGAUUAGCUAGUUGGUGAGGUAACGGCGCACCAAGGCGACGAUCAGUAGCUGGUCUGAGAGGAUGACCAGCCACACUGGGACUGAGACACGGCCCAGACUCCUACGGGAGGCAGGAGUGGGGAAUCUUGCGCAAUGGGCGAAAGCCUGACGCAGCCAUGCCGCGUGAAUGAUGAAGGUCUUAGGAUAGUAAAGUUCUUUCACCGGGGACGAUAAUGACGGUACCCGGAGAAGAAGCCCCGGCUAACUUCGUG